GAAUGAAGAAUUCACUUUUUCAUAAUAACAUCAAGUUUUAACUAUUACUACCUGCAUUCCAUUUGCCGGCAUUAGUUCAGCCGUAGGCAUGGGACCUACAUCUGUCCCAGCCAGCACACCAGCCGCAAGGCCUGUACGUCGGGUGCUGGGACUAAUUUAAACAUGGUGGGAUCGGUACUAGUCAGUUCCGAACUAGUUCAAACAUAUAUAAGUUCCGGCACACCAAGUGCCGGCACUAGUUCGAACACAUACUAGUUCUACCUGUGAUUUGCUGUACAUGAUUCAGUUUGCUGUUGAAACAUUUCUGAAAUAUAGAUAACUUGGACUAAGGUCAAACUGAGUCCAGCCUGCAGAUAUGUGAAACAAAUGCUUAACCUCCCAAUGCUCACAAAGCACCUACCGCUCCCAAUGCUUAAGCUCCAGAGCAAAAGCUGAAAGAGGAACUAGAUAUGAAUUCUGCAGCGUACAUU
RNAcentral lists this long non-coding RNA (470 nucleotides) under Phoenix dactylifera (date palm). RNAcentral describes it as "long non-coding RNA (PDAC_LNC016173)". Lineage: Eukaryota; Viridiplantae; Streptophyta; Magnoliopsida; Arecales; Arecaceae. The record is from RNAcentral.